AUAGUUCACUAUUCACUAUUCAAUAUUGAAAAAAUGAAUAAUGAAUAAUGAAAUGGUUUAUGUUUCAUUAUUCAAAUUGAAGCGGUGAAUAGUGAAAAAAAUAUAUAAAAAAAUUGACUGUGACACUAUAGCUAUAUUUUGAUUCGAAAUGACCAUAAGACGGUUUACGGAGGACCUAAAUGCCACAAUAUGCAUAAAAAUGAGGAAAUAUAAAAAAGAAGAUGUGGUAUGAUUGCCAAUGAGACAAAUAUCCAGAAAGACCACAAUGACACAGACAUUAACAACUAUAGCUCACCGUACAGCCUUCAACAAUGAGCAAAGCCCAUACCGCAUAGUCAGCUAUUAAAGGCCCCGAUAAGACAUUGUAAAAAAAUUCAAACGAGAAAACUAACGGCCUUAUUUGUGUAAAAUAAUGAACGACAAACAAAUAUGUAACACAUAAACAAACGACAAC
This 454-nucleotide long non-coding RNA is filed under the name Mytilus galloprovincialis (Mediterranean mussel). Lineage: Eukaryota; Metazoa; Mollusca; Bivalvia; Mytilida; Mytilidae. The record is from RNAcentral.